AAUAUUGGACAAUGGGCGCAAGCCUGAUCCAGCCAUGUCGCGUGAGUGAAGAAGGCCUUCGGGUUGUAAAGCUCUUUCUGCCGGCAAGAAAUCGCGCAGGCUAAUACCCUGCGCGGAUGCCGUUACCGACAUCAGAAGCACCGGCAAACGACGUGCCAUCAGCCGCGGUAAUACGCACGGUGAGAGCCUUAAUCGGAAUUCAUGGGCGUAAAACGUGCGCAGGCGGGUGAUUAAGACAGGCGUGUAAACCCCGGGCUUAACCUGGGAACUGCGCUUGUGACUGGUGAGCGAGAGUACGGCAGAGGGGGGUGAAAUUCCACGUGUAGCAGUGAAAUGCGUAGAGAUGUGGAGGAACACCGAUGGCGAAGGCAGCCCCCUGGGCCGAUACUGACGCUCAUGCACGAAAGCGUGGGUAGCAAACAGG
Molecule: ribosomal RNA, 424 nt
Filed under: uncultured bacterium
Lineage: Bacteria
Description: partial 16S ribosomal RNA
Rfam family: Bacterial small subunit ribosomal RNA
Source: RNAcentral